GACAGAGGGUGCAAACGUUGUUCGGAAUUACUGGGCGUAAAGCGCGUGUAGGCGGUUAUGCAAGUCGGGAUGUGAAAGGCCCGGACGCCUCAACUCCGGAAGUGCAUUCGAUACUGGCGUAGCUAGAGUACUGGAGAGGAUGGUGGAACUCUCGGUGUAGAGGUGAAAAUUCGUAGAUAUCGAGAAGAACACCGGUGGCGAAGGCGGCCAUCUGGACAGAUACUGACGCUGAGACGCGAAAGCGUGGGGAGCAAACAGG
This 259-nucleotide ribosomal RNA is filed under the name uncultured bacterium. Its description in RNAcentral is "partial 16S ribosomal RNA". It matches the Rfam family "Bacterial small subunit ribosomal RNA", at positions 524 to 776 of the family's 1533-position model. The record is from RNAcentral.